UCAUGCAUGAGAGUCCUGAUGGGUGACCCUAUAGUUCCCUGGCAGGUGCCACCAGAGAUUGUCUUUUUCAUGUUCCCAGUCAUUUUGCUUCAGGUGCUCAUUUUGAAGGGCCUUACAGAGAGGGAAGUCUGUGUUGUAUAUUGACUUCUAAUCAAGUUAUGGCCUCCAUCAGAGAUUACAGAGGGAGCCUGCAAACCCAUUGUGGAAAGGAAAGCAGCGGGGUCGCCCGUGCCCCUCAGCCAUGCCCAGCCCCAGCCUGUGGGUUUGGACAACCCUCCCGCCCGGGUCCUUCCACUGACUGACUAGGGGUGUAGAGACACUGCAGGAAUCAGAACAG
Molecule: long non-coding RNA, 337 nt
Filed under: Homo sapiens (human)
Lineage: Eukaryota; Metazoa; Chordata; Mammalia; Primates; Hominidae
Description: HSALNT0025742
Source: RNAcentral